Molecule: ribosomal RNA, 774 nt
Filed under: uncultured Neocallimastigales
Lineage: Eukaryota; Fungi; Neocallimastigomycota; Neocallimastigomycetes; Neocallimastigales
Description: partial large subunit ribosomal RNA
Rfam family: Eukaryotic large subunit ribosomal RNA
Source: RNAcentral
UAUGUGAUCGUCUCUCGCAUAUCAAUAAGCGGAGGAAAAGAAACUAACAAGGAUUCCCCUAGUAACGGCGAGUGAAGCGGGAAGAGCUCAGAUUUGAAAUCUUAAAGGGUUUCCCUUUACGAAUUGUAGUUUAAAGAAGUGUUUUCUGUUGAGGUUUUGGUAAAAGUUCUUUGGAAUAGGACAUCAUAGAGGGUGAGAAUCGCGUAUUUGACCUUUACUUUCAACUUUGUGAUACACUUUCAAAGAGUCGGAUUGUUUGGGAAUGCAGUCCAAAAUGGGUGGUAAAUUUCAUCUAAAGCUAAAUAUUGGCGAGAGACCGAUAGCGAACAAGUACCGUGAGGGAAAGAUGAAAAGAACUUUGAAAAGAGAGUUAAACAGUACGUGAAAUUGUCAAAAGGGAAGCGUUUGACACCAGUGUUGUUUUUCUGAAAAUCAAUUAAAGAACUGUUUAUGCUAAGCUGUUUAGACUUUAUCAGCUAUCUGUUUAGUUUUGAGCUUUUCUUUAAUGCACUUUUCAGUUAACAAGUCAACAUCAAUUUCUUUUGCUGUAAAAAAGCUUGAGGAAGGUGGCUUGAGAUUCGUCUUAAGUGUUUAUAGCCUCUUGCCUAUGCAGUCGGAGAGAUUGAGGUCUGCAGCGUAGAUCCUUCGGGGCUAAAUGCAUUUGUGCUAAGUUAUAGCAUUUUAUAGACAACUUGUUGACUAUGAUUUGUCUUGUAGCUUACUCGCUUAUGUUAUUUUACCUACGCUUAGGAUGUUGAUCUACAGAGCGAGAGU